AAGACCCCAUGGAGCUUUACUGUAGCUUGACAUUGGGUCUUGGUACUACAUGUACAGGAUAGGUGGGAGGCUUUGAAACCAGGACGCCAGUUUUGGCGGAGCCAUCCUUGGGAUACCACCCUUGUAGUACUGGGACUCUAACCAUAGGCCAUGAAUCUGGUCUUGGGACACUGUCAGGUGGGCAGUUUGACUGGGGCGGUCGCCU
RNAcentral lists this ribosomal RNA (205 nucleotides) under Clostridioides difficile. RNAcentral's name for it is "partial 23S ribosomal RNA". It matches the Rfam family "Bacterial large subunit ribosomal RNA", at positions 2085 to 2288 of the family's 2925-position model. Lineage: Bacteria; Bacillati; Bacillota; Clostridia; Peptostreptococcales; Peptostreptococcaceae. The record is from RNAcentral.